RNAcentral lists this long non-coding RNA (342 nucleotides) under Elaeis guineensis (African oil palm). RNAcentral's name for it is "long non-coding RNA (EGUI_LNC062971)". Lineage: Eukaryota; Viridiplantae; Streptophyta; Magnoliopsida; Arecales; Arecaceae. The record is from RNAcentral.
AUGACCAUUAUAACUCCUAGAAGGAUGUUUCUCCUCUUCUUUCUGAUGCAUCAAACUGUUAUGGCACGUCUCCAGUAGGAUAGUCAGAUUGUCGUGCCUGAGUGUCGAAUGAUAGGAAGCCAAUGGGAAAGGACCGCUCAUCGAAGAGAGGGCACAGUCGAGAGGCCCAAGAACGAGAGCGAGGGCUUACGAUGCGUUGAAUGGAGGCAGGAUCAAAUUGGAUCGAAUGAAAAGGUCAGCUGGUGGCAUCCGAUGCUAGUAGAGAAACCUGCAAGAAAAGCCUACACCGGAGAUGUCUUCGGUGAGGACCCUUCAACCCUCAAGUCAGUUUUUAGCUCAACA